Molecule: long non-coding RNA, 2067 nt
Organism: Folsomia candida
Lineage: Eukaryota; Metazoa; Arthropoda; Collembola; Entomobryomorpha; Isotomidae
Exons: 3
Source: RefSeq, a predicted model, not a curated record
UCACCUUCUCCCUCGGAAGGGAGGAAGGGUUUGAUUUUUUAUUUCCCCGGACAUUUUACAUUUCAUUUCAGUGUUUCAUAAAUUUACAUAAAGUUCUAAGCAUCUCAACUACUUCUUAGUAGGGUAAAUAAAUUAGUGUCAUUUAAAUUACGAGUAUGUAGCAGCGGAUCUGAAAUUCUCGUCUAAAUAUAAUUCAAAAUCCCAGCAACACAUAAACCCAUGCACUGCAAAAAUGUGAACCAUAUAAUUUAAAAGUGGUCACAAAAUUUAUCAGCCUCUAACCCAUCUCCAGGACUUGAGUCACACCUAAUUUUGAAUAUCUUGGACAGAAUCAUCCUCACUGUUCAUACACGAAAUUGACCACACUUAUGUAUAUACUAUACUUGAAGUGAGUUAGUUAUGUGCUGUGCGAAUGGAGCUAAACUCACGAGAAACCCUAGUCUCAGCACAAGGUACUUCAGGAGGCCGUAGGUUUAAGCUCCACCCGCACAGUACAUAACUCGUUCACUUUAUGUAUACCAACAGGAAAUAUGUUUUCCACAUAAAACUCUCCCAUCACACAAGUAACAAAGGCUACCGUUACCUAACUUUUUUCAAGGAAUAGGUACUUUUUUUAAACAAAUCUAAACUCCAAGAAAUAGAUAUGUAACUUUACGCUUUGAAUAGUUAAUGCUGUCUCAUUUCUAAAUUAAGCAAACUAUACACCCUAAGAAACACGGUAACUAAGUUGUUACCAGGCGGAGUAUCUAUGUGACUCUACCGCAUGGUAAUUAAUUUAUCAUUGAGUGGUAGAAAAUUACAUAGUUACCAACUGGUAAUAUUUUCAAAUUUCUCGACUGGGGAUAUUCCCGGUAUGGUAGCAAAAUGUCUGCCACGCAAUAAUAAAUUCAUUCCAUGCGGCAUUGUCAGAUAGAUACGCCGCCUGGUAAUAACUAGUUACCGGGUUUCUUAGAAUGAAUUAAAUCAAGAGUAUCUUUAACCUGGCAAAAGAGUAAAGUUAACUUUACCCUUUUACCUAAAUUUAAAUUUUUAUAGUGCAGAUACAUACAUAAUUACUUAUUAACAGAGACACUUUUAAGAUUCAGAUAUACAUAUGUACUUAUAGUUAUGUGUAUGUACCCAUUGAUUGGGAAAUGAUUAAUCGUAAUGGAUUUGAUUUUAAAUUCCAUCACGCAUAAUCAUUUUCCAAUAAGUACGUACAAAACGUACACAGAAAGAGUAUUUAUUUAUACACAUUUUCAUAAGUUCAACGUUACGAAACGUUCUGGUUUCAUAAUGUUGCCCGUUGUCCUCGGAGAAUGCCGUUACUCGGCGGAUAAUUAAUAUUAUAUUAGGGUCAUCAAGAUGGUAAUUGGCGACUUGAAGAUUAGGUUCCUCUUUAUGCAAAUCCCACACAGUAGCAGCGUGGGUUUCGUGACGCAUGUAGGUAUUCCAACCAGUAUUUCAUCCUAGCUCUGCGCUCACAAAAUUCAUAAAAUUCUUCUAGUCGCUUUUGUCCGUCUAAACUGUUAAUUAAUGCUUUGCCUAGUAAUUCGCUCAGCGACAAAUGCAUAAAGUACAACGGGGAAAAUUUGAAAUAAUUCGGCUAGUACAAGAGGAGGACUCCGGUUCCACUAUGUUCCUAGCUUUUGUAAUUUAUCCACCUUAAAUUGAACUAAUAAUUUCAUAUUAUCAUAUUCUAUUCACAGUUUAAUUAUCGUGUUCGAUACAUAAUCGAAUUGUGUAUUUCAUAUCCUUCAACUUUUAUGCUUUGUUGAAGGACUAAAUUUGUUCUUGUAUUGGUAAUACAAUUUUUAAAUUACUUCUUUCUUCAUCCUGUGACGCAUGAAGGUAGUCAUGCCUUGCAUAAAUUUUCCUCUUCGUCUUUCAACAAACCUCUUUCUCAUUGUACUCAAUAAAUUAAGUUAAAUAAGCAUUAAUUUAUUUCCAAAAUGAUUACAAUGAUUGUAAUAUUGUAACAUUUUUAUUUAGAUUAUUUAGAUGACAUUAAAUAUGAUAAUUUUUAUCGUAAAAUACUGGUGAUUAAUAAUUUUGCGUAGUUGGUAUAUGCAGAUAUUUAUUCACGUC